This 545-nucleotide ribosomal RNA is filed under the name Cystobasidium portillonense. Its description in RNAcentral is "eukaryotic LSU rRNA". The stretch from base 146 to 299 matches the Rfam family "5.8S ribosomal RNA". The record is from RNAcentral. Lineage: Eukaryota; Fungi; Basidiomycota; Cystobasidiomycetes; Cystobasidiales; Cystobasidiaceae.
AAGGAUCAUUAAUGAAUUAAAAAUAACUUUCUUUUUAGAGAGUUUGAUUUAUUUCCUUACACUGUGCACACACUUCUUUUUCACACAUUUUAACACUAUAGUAUAAGAAUGUAACAGUCUCUUAAUUGAGCAUAAAUAAAAAUAAAACUUUCAGCAACGGAUCUCUUGGCUCUCGCAUCGAUGAAGAACGCAGCGAAUUGCGAUAAGUAAUGUGAAUUGCAGAAUUCAGUGAAUCAUCGAAUCUUUGAACGCACCUUGCACUCUUUGGUAUUCCGAAGAGUAUGUCUGUUUGAGUGUCAUGAAACUCUCAACCCCCUUAUUUUGUAAUGAGAUAAGUGUGGGCUUGGAUUAUGGCUGUUUGGCGGCGUAAUUGCCGGCUCAGCUGAAAUAUACGAGCAACCCAUUUGAAAUAAACGGCUUGACUCGGCGUAAUAAUUAUUUCGCUGAGGACGUUUUCUUCAAAAGUAAGAGGUGCUUCUAAUGCGCUUUUUAAAGCAAUUUAAGCUUUAGACCUCAAAUCAGUCAGGACUACCCGCUGAACUUAA